CCUACGGGAGGCAGCAGUGAGGAAUAUUGGUCAAUGGACGAGAGUCUGAACCAGCCAAGUAGCGUGAAGGAUGACUGCCCUAUGGGUUGUAAACUUCUUUUAUAUGGGAAUAAAAUGUUCCACGUGUGGGAUUUUGUAUGUACCAUAUGAAUAAGGAUCGGCUAACUCCGUGCCAGCAGCCGCGGUAAUACGGAGGAUCCGAGCGUUAUCCGGAUUUAUUGGGUUUAAAGGGAGCGUAGGUGGAUUGUUAAGUCAGUUGUGAAAGUUUGCGGCUCAACCGUAAAAUUGCAGUUGAAACUGGCAGUCUUGAGUACAGUAGAGGUGGGCGGAAUUCGUGGUGUAGCGGUGAAAUGCUUAGAUGUCACGAAGAACUCCGAUUGCGAAGGCAGUUCACUGGACUGCAACUGACACUGAGGCUCGAAAGUGUGGGUAUCAAACAGGAUUAGAUACCCCUGUAGUC
Molecule: ribosomal RNA, 460 nt
Filed under: uncultured bacterium
Lineage: Bacteria
Description: partial 16S ribosomal RNA
Rfam family: Bacterial small subunit ribosomal RNA
Source: RNAcentral